Long non-coding RNA from Oreochromis niloticus (Nile tilapia), 1208 nucleotides. RefSeq lists it as uncharacterized. Lineage: Eukaryota; Metazoa; Chordata; Actinopteri; Cichliformes; Cichlidae. The transcript has 3 exons. The record is from RefSeq and is a predicted model, not a curated record.
UGGGAACGGAACGCAGUGAGUUUACUUUAACGUCUCUGGGAAAUUUGAGUUUUUACUCUGAAUGUUGACCGAUACCUCGAUAGAAACGAGUGCUUUGUGUUUAGGUUUGCAUCUGAGGAAGCAGUGAUCAUGCUGUGAAACACAUUCAGAUGCCACCAAACUGCCAGAUGGACCUUGGGUCUGGACCAUGGGCCUUUUGGAAAAGAGCACACUGGAGUGGAUCCAUCUGUCUCACAAGCAACACAAAACAGGUGCUCGGCUACUGUGUAGGAGGGUCACAGGGGGCUGGAGCCUAUCCCACUUGAAAGGCAGGGUCCUGAUAGGUUGUCAGCCAAUCCUAAGGCUAACAUAGAGAGACAGACAAUCAUUCACAGUCAGCCAAUUAACAUAACAUGCAUUUCUUUGGACGGGGAGGAAGCAGAAGCCAGGCAGGCACAGGGAGACCAUACAAGAUGGAUUUGGACCCAGGAUCUUCUUGCUGUGAUGUUGGCCUCCUAAUUGCAGAUUUUUCUUUUUCUGUUUUUAAUAAUUGAAUUUUUUUUAAUAACUUAAUAACUCCACAGUAUUUUUUUGUCAUUAUGUUGUGAAUAGUUUUUUUUUUAAUCUGAAUGCUCCAUCUGCCUAUCACUUUGCUGCUGGGCCACCUGAAUUUCCCCAAUGAGGGACAAUAAAGGAUAUUUCUAUUCUAUUCUAUUCUAUUCUAUUCUAAUCUAAUUAAACAUCCCUUUUCCAAAGCAUAAAAGAGCCACUAGAUCCCCUUUUUCUGCCUGUAUCUACCCCCUUAUGAUAACAAAAUAGCUGUUUGGUCUUAAGGGACUGAUGUUGCUGUGGUACCAGCUUUAAACAUUUGUUGUUUAAUCACAGUUUAAACACAUUGUUUGAACUGUGAGCCUGUUUGCAAAUGUAACUCAACACCAAGGUGUCGACUUUCAAAACACAGCAGAAUUUUUAGUUACCUGGGCCAGUGAAUGUUAAAGAGGUAAAACAUUUAUCACUAAACCUGCAGCUGUUGGUUGAGCUCUAAAUAUGCAAGUGUUUGGUCAAUAAUGGACAAAUCAAAAUACUUCAGGAAAAAUUAGAGGAUUACCCUUAGUGCUGGUGGGACCAUAUAAAAAGACAAAUCACUAUAGUUAAAGUAUGAAGCAUGGCUAGUACUGAAUCCCAGAAAACAUUCUACAGGGUGGGCCAUUUAUAUGGAUACACCGUAA